This 748-nucleotide long non-coding RNA is filed under the name Homo sapiens (human). Its description in RNAcentral is "HSALNT0194082". Lineage: Eukaryota; Metazoa; Chordata; Mammalia; Primates; Hominidae. The record is from RNAcentral.
AAAAAAUAUGGCUCCAUAUCAGGAGGUAAGAAUCAGCAGAAAAGAAGGAAUCUUUGGAGAGCCAAAACCAUCUCUACACCAAAUUGAGAGACUGGAAUUAUAAGGUGAAUGCAAUUAACUGGCAGUCGCAUCCAUGUUGAGAACACAGUCAUCCCUUUAAUAGAGAACAUUUGCUGUGCUUGACAAACUCACAGUGAAAUGGUUGGAUCCAUAGGAAGCAACAUGCUGAAAAUGGUUUCAAUAUGAUCCUGUUUUUUCACUCAAUAGCCAUUGAUUGAGGGUGUCCAGCCAAAAACAAUGAGAAAAUGAGCCAACAAUAGUCUUACCCUUUGACCAUAUUAGAUAAAGUCGCAGCUGAAAUUUGUUAUAUGUUUCAGGAAUAACAAAGCAUCCAUAUGGAACAUAUAUUUGGCAGUGUGGCAGCUGAUGAAACCAGGAAAAUUAGACAAAUUAUCAAUUGCUCGCUCCCAAAUUACCCCAAAAAGAAAUUAGAUCCAUUUUCAGUAGCUUUGCCUUCAAAUUUCUUCAUUCCGUGAGUCACCACUACCUUCUGCCAAACUAAAUAUGUCUAUGAACGGCUGGAAACUUUAAUGGAAAGAAACAUAAAACUCAAACUACGUAGGAAAAUUUAAGCUUCUUCAUGGAAGAUCUUCGUGGAAGACUAGCAAGUUAGGAAUGUGUGAAGACAGACAACACAUCGAUAAUUCCUUUUGUUUGGGGUCACUUCUGAGUUAGAGAGCAAUGCAAC